This 365-nucleotide long non-coding RNA is filed under the name Nicotiana benthamiana. RNAcentral's name for it is "long non-coding RNA (NBEN_LNC002023)". Lineage: Eukaryota; Viridiplantae; Streptophyta; Magnoliopsida; Solanales; Solanaceae. The record is from RNAcentral.
AUGUUUGCUGAUCUUUGCUAUUUUUCUGUGAGAUCAGUCCAGGUAUGCAGCAGCAGAUCUGGACAUAGGAUUUAUGGCUAGGGGGAGUGGGGUGGGGGAGGUGUAUAGAUAUAAUUAUACCUACCCCUUUUAUAUUUUUGAUAAUUCUUUUUUCUGAUUUCAUGGAGCGUAUAGAUUAAGUGGGUUAUUCUAUCAAGCUAGGAAAUAUAAUAGCCAGAGACUUGUGAUGUUUGACGAAGGUAUCAUUAAUGAAGAUGUUCCAAGAAAGUAGAAACCACGUUAUGAUAGAAUCUUUAAAGAUAGAUGUUUUUGCCAAUUUAUAAAAAUGGAUCAAAACUUUUUGAGCCUGUCCAUGGAAAAGUAGG